GACGAGGGGUCCUAGCGUUGUUCGGAAUCAUUGGGCGUAAAGAGUAUGUAGGCGGCUUUUCAAGUCAGAUGUGAAAGCCCACGGCUUAACCGUGGAAAUGCAUUUGAAACUGCUAAGCUUGAGUGCGGAAGAGGAUGGUAGAAUUCCAGGUGUAGUGGUGAAAUACGUAGAUAUCUGGAGGAAUACCGGAGGCGAAGGCGGCCAUCUGGUCCGCUACUGACGCUGAGAUACGAAAGCGUGGGGAUCAAACAGGGAUUAAGAU
This 262-nucleotide ribosomal RNA is filed under the name uncultured bacterium. RNAcentral describes it as "partial 16S ribosomal RNA". It matches the Rfam family "Bacterial small subunit ribosomal RNA", at positions 524 to 785 of the family's 1533-position model. The record is from RNAcentral.